UAUAAAUAAUUCUACUUUGAAACUGCGAAUGGCUCAUUAUAUCAGUUAUAGUUUAUUAGAAAUAAUUUACUACUUGGAUAACCGUAGUAAUUCUAGGGCUAAUACAUGAGUAAAUCCUCGACUUUGAAGAGGUGUGUUUAUUAGUAUGAAAACCAUAUGCUUUUGCAUAAUAGUGAGUAAUAAUAACCUUUCAUAUCGUAUGUUGUAAUAACGAUAGUUCUUUCAAGUUUCUGCCCUAUCAGCUUUCGAUGGUAGUGCAUUGGACUACCAUGGCAGUAACGGGUAACGAAGAAUUUGGGUUCGAUUUCGGAGAGGGAGCCUGAGAGAUGGCUACCACAUCCAAGGAAGGCAGCAGGCGCGUAAAUUACCCAAUCCUGACAUAGGGAGGUAGUGACAAUAAAUCACAAUGCGGGACUUUUAGUUUUGCAAUUGGAUUGAGAACAAUGUAAAAGAGUUAUCGAUAAACAAUUGGAGGGCAAGUCUGGUGCCAGCAGCCGCGGUAAUUCCAGCUCCAAUAGCGUAUAUUAACGUUGUUGCAG
Molecule: ribosomal RNA, 539 nt
Filed under: Blastocystis sp.
Lineage: Eukaryota; Bigyra; Opalinata; Blastocystidae
Description: SSU rRNA
Rfam family: Eukaryotic small subunit ribosomal RNA
Source: RNAcentral